AAUGUUAGGAGAGUGCGGCUGCAGGUGAUCUAGGACAUCAGCGCAAGAGUGAGUAGGAGGGGAAGAAGAUACAGGGAGAGGGUAGAAAACAAAAUAAUAUAGAGAUCAUGCCAAUGCCCCUUGUGCCCUUCCAGUCUGCAGCCCCUCUUUCCUGGAGUAAAUGAACUGGACCAAAUCUCAAAAAUCCACGAUGUUAUCGGCACACCUGCUCAGAAGACCCUCACCAAGUUCAAACAGGAUCAGGAAUACCUCUACUGACAACCAAUUUGUCCCCACAAUGCCUCUCCCUCUUGCACGCAAUGGUGGCCUACGAUCCCGAUGAGAGAAUCGCCGCCCACCAGGCCCUGCAGCACCCCUACUUCCAAGAACAGAGGAAAACAGAGAAGCGGGCUCUGGGCAGCCACAGAAAAGCUGUCUUUCCGGAGCACCCUGUGGCACCGGAACCACUCAGUAACAGCUGCCAGAUUUCCAAGGAGGGCAGAAAGCAGAAACAGUCCCUAGAGCAAGAGGAGGACCAUCCCAAGAGACAAGGACCAGCCUAUGUCAUGGAACUGCCCAAACUAAAGCUUUCGGGAGUGGUCAAACUGUCGUCUUACUCCAGCCCCACGCUGCAGUCCGUGCUUGGAUCUGGAACAAAUGGAAGAGUGCCGGUGCUGAGACCCUUGAAGUGCAUCCCUGCGAGCAAGAAGGUAGCGCGGAACCAGCUU
This 707-nucleotide small RNA is filed under the name Pongo abelii (Sumatran orangutan). RNAcentral describes it as "processed transcript". Lineage: Eukaryota; Metazoa; Chordata; Mammalia; Primates; Hominidae. The record is from RNAcentral.